GACGAACGCUGGCGGCGCGCUUAACACAUGCAAGUCGAACGGAAAGGCCUGCUUUCCCUUGUGGAUUGCGGGUACUCGAGUGGCGAACGGGUGAGUAACACGUGAGUGAUCUGCCCCCAACUUGGGUAUAAGCCUGGGAAACUGGGUCUAAUUCCCGAUAGGACUGCAGGGUGGUGCCUGUGGUGGAAAACGAUUUUCUAGUGGUUGGGGAUGAGCUCGCGGCCUAUCAGCUUGUUGGUGGGGUAAUGGCCUACCAAGGCGGCGACGGGUAGCCGGCCAGGGGGGGUGGGCGGGCGCAGUGGGACUGAGAUACGGCCCAGACUCCUACGGGAGGCAGCAGUGGGGAAUAUUGCACAAUGGGCGGAAGCCUGAUGCAGCGACGCCGCGUGGGGGAUGACGGCCUUCGGGUUGUAAACUCCUUUCGACCGCGAGGAAGCCACCUGGUUGGAAGGGUGGUGACGGUAGUGGGAGAAGAAGCACCGGCUAACUACGUG
Molecule: ribosomal RNA, 494 nt
Filed under: uncultured bacterium
Lineage: Bacteria
Description: partial 16S ribosomal RNA
Rfam family: Bacterial small subunit ribosomal RNA
Source: RNAcentral